This 1135-nucleotide long non-coding RNA is filed under the name Zostera marina. RNAcentral's name for it is "long non-coding RNA (ZMAR_LNC003502)". Lineage: Eukaryota; Viridiplantae; Streptophyta; Magnoliopsida; Alismatales; Zosteraceae. The record is from RNAcentral.
AAAAUUAUUCAUUUAUUAUUAAAACAUUGGCAAAAGACUUUAUUACAUAGAUAAGAGUUCAUAAUAUAAAUCUCAUAAAACACAAAAUACGGAAACAAUAAGCUCCUAGGUAAACCAUGUACGAGACGUCUGCACUCUGCACCACUGCCCCUCAAUCUGCAAUUUAAAACAAGAACGGAUAUGAGUUGUCAUUCAACUCAGUACGGAUGUCUCAACCUUUUACAUGCUUCAUUUUUGUUUUCAAAUAUAUUCCCUUUAGUUAUUACCCAUGUUCUACUCCGAGUUUUCUGUAGUUAUCAUCCAUCUGGACGCUUAGGGCCCAAAGCCCCUUCAUAGAAAUGACUCUCACCAUUCCCCAAACUCGAUUCUGUGUGGAGCACAGUCUCGACCAGACUCGAAUCAUCCCUGGGGAGUGAUUCGACUAGACUGUCCCGUCGGGUCAUUCGCCUCGUCAGGCUCAGACUCGAAUUCCCCCAUGGUUCACCCAACCAAUAUCCCCGAAGGGUCACAUUAUCAGACUUAGCCUCUCGGCUCAAAUUCGGUUUCCCCAUGGGUUCACUCGACCAGACUCUCCUGUUAGGGCACAAUCCAUCGGAUUUUUACUUUUCCAGUUCCAUUCUUUAUUUGUUGGCCUCGAUAUGGUUCGCCUCAUUCAUGUCGAGGUCCGAACUCCCAAUCAUGGAUUCAGGUCGAUCAACUUUCUGCUCCAUUUAUUCACAACGUACUAGCUAAGUGAGUGCGAACCCAUAACAAACCUUAUGGCCACUCAAGGGUCCUCUUGGAGAAAUCCCUGAUUCAACCUUAGUCUCGUCCUAUGAGCGUAGAAGGUCUCCCCGAAGACUCUUGUGCGUCACUAGGUUACUAACCCGACCUCACUCAUAACCCAAGGGUGACUUCAAAAAUAAAACAAGAACAAUAUAUAAAAAUAUGUGUUAGAGUAAAGGUCUAACCGCAUGCUUUCAUUCCAACCUUAACUUAGAGUAGGAGAAUCCAUACCUUCUUUCUUGAUUUCUUCUUCUUUCUCCUAGAUCCUCAAGAGCCUAGCUUAACCUAAGGAUCGACCAUAUAAUCACUCAUGAGAACCCUAGCACCAACCAACAUAAAAGAAAGAGAGAAAUCGCCUACCUUCAAUAUG